AGCUAUUGAACUUGUAAAAGUAUAUAUUUUGAAAAUAUAAAAAAGAAUUAAUUUUCUAUUAGCUU
RNAcentral lists this transfer RNA (65 nucleotides) under Sinocrepis fulva. RNAcentral describes it as "tRNA-Ser". The record is from RNAcentral. Lineage: Eukaryota; Metazoa; Arthropoda; Insecta; Coleoptera; Chrysomelidae.